Molecule: RNA transcript, 3272 nt
Organism: Melopsittacus undulatus (budgerigar)
Lineage: Eukaryota; Metazoa; Chordata; Aves; Psittaciformes; Psittaculidae
Gene name: zinc finger FYVE domain-containing protein 16-like
Exons: 4
Source: RefSeq, a predicted model, not a curated record
GCUCCUUUAAGGUCUAGGGGUGUGAAUAGACAGAGGAGAGAGGUUCACAGAGAGAGCAGAGAAAGAAUGGGGCAGCAGGAGUAAAGACGUCACCAUAUGCAUUAAUUAGAAACGACUGGACACACAGGAAUUGGCAGAAGAGGUUGGGGCAGUCUAGCAGACGCUUUCAAUACCUUAACGGUGUGGUGUGAGAUCACUCACAUAUGUACUUUGAUAGAAGUCUGAUAGAGGGCUACAAAUAGCCCCAGAAAAUGGCUUGAUUCCAAGAUCCUUGUACAAAAAAAGGAGUGUGAAAAUGAAUGAAUUGCACCAUAGAAAUACAUUUGCAGUACUGAAAUGCCGAUCCAAAUGCUGGCACAUUAGUGAUGACAGUGUUCAGUAGCUGAGUGGAGAAACAAUGAUACUAAACAUUCCUGGAGGGGUACCUGGUUUCCUGUUGUUUGUCUUGCAUUUGACUGUCAUAUGCAAAAAUUACCAGUCUGCAGCGUUCUGAUAGGAAUUUUGUGUUGCCAAACAAACACAUUAAUGAUGCAUCUUCGCCUUAGGUAGCUCCUAAAGAUGGGAAAAAAGACAAAAGGAAGAUCCAGGAGAGAUUUGGUGGGUUGCUUAUUGUUUAGAGGAGAUGCAUUCUCAGAAUUUGUGAGAAGAUAUAUAUGAACUUCUGGUUUUCCUUCUUAGAAUGCUAGUAAUGAAAGUUUAGCUUCUUCUGCGACAUGAGUGUAUAUAUUUUUAUUUACUGAUUUAUUCUUCACAGGCUGCAAACCCAGAGCAAUAUGACAUAUUGCCUGAUGUAUGUCCAAAACAGAAGGAAGACAGUGAUGAUAUUGCAAAAAUGGAGGAAUUAUGUCCUUCUGUUUCUUCAGAUGAUGCACAGCAGGCUGUUCCAGGUCAGAGUGAGGUGGUACAUAGUUAUACAUCUGUAAUUCUAGAAACUGAAGAGUGUUCUCCGGCUGCAGAAGCUGAGAAGACUAGUUCCAGUUCAGCUGAUCAGACUACUCGUGAUGUGCCUGUUAGUCCUUCAAGUUACAGGGCACUGUGUGGUGUUGAGAACUGUGCUCACAAAGAUCAGCCUUGUUCCCGAUGAUGAUAAACUGCCACCACUUCUGCUUGCAGUGGGUGAAAAAGGAAAAGAAACUUAUUGAUCAGAUUCUACCAGAUCACCCUUUUCUUUUCGGUGUUCUCGUCCAUAAGGUGGAAAUACCCUGGGCAAAAGUUUUUCCUAUCUGUUUAAUGUUGAGACUGGGAGCAGAAUAUGGGGGUUCCUUCUCCAUGCGUUUCACACUGCAGCCAUGGGACUUCAAAGCAUGUUACUUUGUAUGAACAUCCUCACUCACUCUAUUCUUGAUGAUCAAUGCUAAGUGGCACCUCACUUUGUAUUAUAGCAUUAACACAAACGCAGAUGUUAACCCGUAUGGUAUUCUUAUUCAAGCAGCUAUAGACCCUUUGCAAUGUCUACAGAAGUUGGUGACCCAAAGACUGAACCUGGGAUGUUUCCACCCAGAUCAUCAAUUGCAAGAAACAUAGCUGACAAAACAUAUGAAAGCAGCAACAAGUCUCUGCCACAGAAUUACUGCCACUAGGAGAGUGGUUCCAUGCAGUGACGCUGCAGUAGGAUUUAACCUUGGGUGGGGAAAAGUUGGGGACAGGGAAGCAGGGGCUCUGGGUCCUUUGGCUGAUCAGGUACUGAGAUUAAGAAACAGGGGCUAUAGCUGAAAAUAAAUACUUGGAUUAGCAAGUUUUACAGUUGUUGAUGGGUAAACAUGACCUCUUCUUUUUUUUGUGCCCUGACUGUAGCAUACCCCACUCCUGUAGUAAGUUUCAGGCACCGGAAGCCACUCUUUGGUGAGAUUGGACCCACAAUUAUGAAUCUGCUUGUUGUUGAGUACUUAGCUGGAUCUGGAGCUCACCUUUUUCCACAGAAGUAUCUGAAUGAAUUGGACAACGGUCUGAUCCCUGUGAUUCAUGCUGGAAUGUCAGAUCCUACAAGUCUACCAUUGAAAAUGGAGUUAAUAUUUUUCAUUAUUGAGCAUCUGGUUUGAUUAGGUCGAUUACAAGCAAUACUCUGAUUUGCUAGAUCUGAACACCAAAGCUACAAUGCUACAAACUAAAAAUCUUAACGUUUUAAACCUGUUAUGUCUUAAUAGAUUUUCAAAUUGUUUUUUAAACCCUCAAAUCCUCUCUGGUUACUUUACCACAAAAGACAACUUGUUUGUAAUGUUUCCUUAGGUUCUGAAAGUUUACACUUAAUACAUGUGCAAAAGAGGGCAGGUUUUAUUACCUUUUUACACAGCUGUAGCAUUUACUGUGUGUAGUGUAACUUUAAGCUAUACUGUCUUGCCCCUUAAGCUCAGAUAAAUGCAUUACAGAAAAUUGCUGUGGCUACACCUUAUCUCUGCAGCAUCUGCUUUUCCAUGUGCAAGUGAGCUAAAACACUGAAGUAAAAGCUGGCACAAAACUCUUUUCUUGUCAUUUGAGAUUUGAAUGUGAGAUGCUCUGUAGCUGACUGCAGAUGUCAUAUGUGGGCACCUUCUGACAGUGGUUUGUGGCCUGCAUGAGGAGGAAUUUCACAGAUAUGUUUAUGAAGACUUUGUAGUUGAAGUCCUUCAUGUCAGGAUGCUAUGCUGGUGCUUUAGGAACAUAGGCUCUGAAUUAAUUUUUUUUUUUUUAUAGAUCAACUGAUUUCUUUCUAUCAUUUAUAAGGAUUUGCCUAACUCAAAUGGAUGCUAUUUUUAUAAAUACUACUUUUUUCUUUACUCUGUGUUCGGGGCUCCUGAAAAUUUGACCUUUCGAGGAUUACUAAAAAAACCAGAUUACCCUUGAGUAAUCUAUAUGUAGCAAUAAAUCAGACAAGAAUUCUGCAGUGUGUUUUCUGCUCGAUCUACUGCAUUGCCACUUCUUAAUAGCCAUCUUUACUUUCAGGGAAAAUAGAAUUAUUAAGUGUGGAUUUUCAUUAACAGAUUGAUUUUUAGUAUACCUGAGGUUCUUGCAUAGGAUGUAUUUUUGAUACUGGGUCAUUAAGAUCUAUUUAUAUAGUUGUGAUAUAUAUGUGACUUGUACUGAGGUUCAGACAACUGUAGUGGGGUUUGGUAACUGUCACACAGCUGUUCAUUAGGAACAGAACCAAAAUUAAAUACAAACAAGAUCUAUAUUGUUUUCAGUAAAAAUUCUGGUACAGUUUUCUAAGGAGAGUAUUGAAUCUUUGAUGCCUUGUUGAUGCUAAUAAGGGGAUAUUUUAUGUUUUUGUAUCAAAAACAAUUUAUAACUUAACCUAA